This 469-nucleotide ribosomal RNA is filed under the name uncultured bacterium. Its description in RNAcentral is "bacterial SSU rRNA". It matches the Rfam family "Bacterial small subunit ribosomal RNA", at positions 28 to 491 of the family's 1533-position model. The record is from RNAcentral.
GAUGAACGCUAGCGGCAGGCUUAAUACAUGCAAGUCGUGGGGCAGCAUGAGUAGCAAUACUUGAUGGCGACCGGCAAACGGGUGAGGAACACGUACACAACCUUCCUUCAAGCGGGGAAUAGCCCAGAGAAAUUUGGAUUAAUACCCCAUAAUAUAUUUGAUAAGGCAUCUUAUUAAUAUUAAAGCUUCGGCACUUGAUGAUGGGUGUGCGGCUGAUUAGAUAGUUGGCGGGGUAACGGCCCACCAAGUCUACGAUCAGUAGCUGAUGUGAGAGCAUGAUCAGCCACACGGGCACUGAGACACGGGCCCGACUCCUACGGGAGGCAGCAGUAAGGAAUAUUGGACAAUGGACGAAAGUCUGAUCCAGCCAUGCCGCGUGAAAGGAUUAAAGGGUCCUCUGGAUUGUAAACUCUUUAUAUGGGACGAAAAAGGGCAUUCUUGUUCACUUGACGGUACCCUAUGAAUAAGC